GUGGGGAAUAUUGGACAAUGGGCGAAAGCCUGAUCCAGCCAUGCCGCGUGUGUGAAGAAGGUCUUCGGAUUGUAAAGCACUUUAAGUUGGGAGGAAGGGCAGUAAGUUAAUACCUUGCUGUUUUGACGUUACCGACAGAAUAAGCACCGGCUAACUUCGUGCCAGCAGCCGCGGUAAUACGAAGGGUGCAAGCGUUAAUCGGAAUUACUGGGCGUAAAGCGCGCGUAGGUGGUUUUGUAAGUUGGAGGUGAAAUCCCCGGGCUCAACCUGGGAACUGGCUCCAAAACUGCAUGACUAGAGUACGGUAGAGGGUAGUGGAAUUUCCUGUGUAGCGGUGAAAUGCGUAGAUAUAGGAAGGAACACCAGUGGCGAAGGCGACUACCUGGACUGAUACUGACACUGAGGUGCGAAAGCGUGGGGAGCAAACAGGAUUAGAUACCCCGGUAGUCC
Molecule: ribosomal RNA, 450 nt
Filed under: uncultured bacterium
Lineage: Bacteria
Description: partial 16S ribosomal RNA
Rfam family: Bacterial small subunit ribosomal RNA
Source: RNAcentral